This 77-nucleotide transfer RNA is filed under the name Gammaproteobacteria bacterium. Its description in RNAcentral is "tRNA-Pro". It matches the Rfam family "tRNA". From Rfam's summary of the family: Transfer RNA (tRNA) molecules are approximately 80 nucleotides in length. Their secondary structure includes four short double-helical elements and three loops (D, anti-codon, and T loops). The record is from RNAcentral. Lineage: Bacteria; Pseudomonadati; Pseudomonadota; Gammaproteobacteria. RNAcentral also lists the same sequence under 6 other names.
CGGGGCGUGGCGCAGCCUGGUAGCGCACUUCGUUCGGGACGAAGGGGUCGGAGGUUCAAAUCCUCUCGCCCCGACCA